Molecule: long non-coding RNA, 420 nt
Organism: Oncorhynchus tshawytscha (Chinook salmon)
Lineage: Eukaryota; Metazoa; Chordata; Actinopteri; Salmoniformes; Salmonidae
Source: Ensembl
CCGGGGAACAGAGUGAAUGUGGAGGCUAUAUACAGGGGGUACCGGGGAACAGAGUGAAUGUGGAGGCUAUAUACAGGGGGUACCGGAACAGAGUCAAUGUGGAGGCUAUAUACAGGGGGUACCGGGACAGAGUCAAUGUGGAGGUUAUAUACAGGUGGUACCAGGGAACAGAGUCAAUAUGGAGGCUAUAUACAGGGGUAACAGGGAACAGAGUCAAUGUGGAGGCUAUAUACAGGGGGUACCAGGGAACAGAGUUAAUGUGGAGGCUAUAUACAGGGGGUACCAGGACAGAGUCAAUGUGGAGGCUAUAUACAGGAGGUAUCGGGACAGAGUCAAUGUGGAGGCUAUAUACAGGGGGUACCAGGGAACAGAGUUAAUGUGCGGGGGCACUGGUUAGUCGUAAUAUGUACAUGUGGGUGG